UGAGCCUAGAAGUAUGCCCAGGUAAAGGAAGCCUGGAUAGUGCCUAAGAAGGUCGAAGGAUAGAAGACCUCUGGCAAGAAGAGGGGUUAGAAAGAUCCUCAGGCGGCCCAUGCCAAAAGAGAAUCCUCCCAAUCGCCAAAGAACUAUAGACCGACAAGUCCAUCUCGAUGAUUCGAUGGCUACACCCCUCAGUCUGCCCCUUGGCCCUAAAUUCUAAUGGAGAUCAAGGGCCAGUUGUAUUUAUGAUGACUUGAGCCAAUGAAGGCCCCUCC
RNAcentral lists this long non-coding RNA (272 nucleotides) under Elaeis guineensis (African oil palm). Its description in RNAcentral is "long non-coding RNA (EGUI_LNC025844)". The record is from RNAcentral. Lineage: Eukaryota; Viridiplantae; Streptophyta; Magnoliopsida; Arecales; Arecaceae.